GGGAUUUGGNCAACCGGGGAANCCUGNUCCAGCGACGCCGCGUGUGUGAAGAAGGCCUGCGGGUUGUAAAGCACUUUUAGUGGGGAUGAACAAGCUCAGGGCUAAUACCUCUGGGUCUUGACCUAACCCACAGAAAAAGCACCGGCUAACUCUGUGCCAGCAGCCGCGGUAAUACAGAGGGUGCAAGCGUUAAUCGGAAUUACUGGGCGUAAAGCGAACGUAGACGGUUGGAUAAGUCGGAUGUGAAAGCCCCGGGCUCAACCUGGGAAUGGCAUUCGAGACUGUUCAGCUAGGGUGCGGAAGAGGGAAGCGGAAUUUCCGGUGUAGCGGUGAAAUGCGUAGAUAUCGGAAGGAACACCAGUGGCGAAAGCGGCUUCCUGGUCCAGCACCGACGUUCAGGUUCGAAAGCAUGGGGGGCAAACAGGAUUAGAUACCCUGGUAGUCCAUGCCAUAAACGAUGAGGACUAGACGUUGAGAGGGUAAGCCUCGCAGUGUCGUAGCUAACGCGCUAAGUCCUCCACCUGGGGAGUACGGCCGCAAGGUUGAAACUCAAAAAAAUUGACGGA
Molecule: ribosomal RNA, 566 nt
Filed under: uncultured bacterium
Lineage: Bacteria
Description: bacterial SSU rRNA
Rfam family: Bacterial small subunit ribosomal RNA
Source: RNAcentral